UGAGUAUGAGUAUGAGUAUUCAAACACGUUCAAAGUUCACACGUUCUACUGUUGGGGAUCCCGGCCAGCUAAACAAUUGGUUUAGCUUUCCUUCCCGAAGGAAGUAUCAUACUUUACUUCACAAAGGAAGCAUCACACACAGAACAAAUGUAAGAAUACUCAUUUCUCAUCAGAAAGUCAUCAAUAAAAUGUUCACCGAAACAUCAUAAAAUAUCACAG
This 219-nucleotide long non-coding RNA is filed under the name Daucus carota (carrot). RNAcentral describes it as "long non-coding RNA (DCAR_LNC003597)". Lineage: Eukaryota; Viridiplantae; Streptophyta; Magnoliopsida; Apiales; Apiaceae. The record is from RNAcentral.